This is a long non-coding RNA of Lolium rigidum, 866 nucleotides long. RefSeq lists it as uncharacterized. The transcript has 5 exons. Lineage: Eukaryota; Viridiplantae; Streptophyta; Magnoliopsida; Poales; Poaceae. The record is from RefSeq and is a predicted model, not a curated record.
UAUUGUCAUAAAACUAGCAUGAAACAUCAGAAAUUAUAGAUACGUUGGAGACGUAUCAGCCCCUUCCAUAGCCGCUUGACAAGCAAGCGUUGAUGAUCCUAGGGGCGGCAAGAGACAUGGCCGCUUGAGGAUUCUUGAUGCAGUAGUUGAGUCUUCUGCCACACUCACACGGGUCCGUGCUACCAACCUGAGCGACAUUGUGUCUAUGCAACCUCGUCCACCGCGUGGUGGAACCUACCCGACUUGCGGCUAUGAUUGUUGGGAGGAAGCCUACGAGCAGCUUCAUGAGGUGUAUCUCCAGAAGAUGGAGGAAUACAAAUCGGUAGUUAAGCUCGCUAACUCGCACCAUAAUGCAACCAAUAAGACGUCUUUUAUAACUCUAGGAACUGGUGCUCUGCCACCCGAGUAUGUCGAUCCUCUAGAAAAACCACCGAUGCCAAAGAUGCCAUCGAAGCAAUAAUUCAUCGCACACCUCGCCACAGGACUUAGGGAUUGGCUUGUUCCAACACUUUUGUUUGUCGUGCUUCUGCCUCGCCCCAAAAGUCGCCCACAGUUACUCCACUUCAACUCGGUGGUCCUAGCCCUGGUGUAUCUGCCUCGCCCCCUCGGUCGCACCAUGAAGAUAGUCAUGAGUCGCCCUAACACUCGCAAGUGCUGUGAUGAUGCUCUCGAUGGCGAAGGGCUUAUUGUGUCGUUGCUCGAACCGUUUGUACUAUGUGUAUCAAACAUGUCAUCUUAUAUCGAACACGUUACUUUCUGCCGUGUGAACUUGUUCUAUGUGUUGUAUCACAGUUUGGACUAUGCGUUGUAUUGAAUCUUGUUUGUCGAUGCUAUAUAUAGAGAUUUAAUGAUAUUUCAUGUUUACA